This 253-nucleotide ribosomal RNA is filed under the name uncultured bacterium. RNAcentral's name for it is "partial 16S ribosomal RNA". It matches the Rfam family "Bacterial small subunit ribosomal RNA", at positions 524 to 776 of the family's 1533-position model. The record is from RNAcentral.
UACGUAGGUGGCAAGCGUUGUCCGGAUUUACUGGGCGUAAAGAGCGCGCAGGCGGUCGUUCAAGUCGCGUGUGAAAGCCCCCGGCUCAACUGGGGAGGGUCACGCGAUACUGAUCGACUCGAAGGCAGGAGAGGGUAGUGGAAUUCCCGGUGUAGUGGUGAAAUGCGUAGAUAUCUGGAGGAACACCGGUGGCGAAGGCGGCAUCCUGGACCGGUAUUGACGCUGAUGCGCGAAAGCCAGGGGAGCAAACGGG